UUUAUAUGUUUUAUUUUAUUAUGCACUUUCUUGUUAUUUUUUCAAUUGUUUUUCUAUUUGUUUCUUCACAUUUUAUCUUAUUUUGUUUUUUUUUUUUAUUUUCUUAUUAGUGUGCUUGGAACUAUGUAAUUAAUUUAAGAACUCCUACGAUUCUGGAUUUCUCUAUUUCGGCAAAAUCAUUCAAAUUUAAGGCAGUUUUAGUUCUUUUUCUCCCUUUCUUAUGAUACUUUGCUUACUGUGAUUAUAUUUGUUUGUACAUUGAGGACAAUGUACAUCUUAAGUGUAGGGAGGAUUUUAUAUGUUUGUGUGAUAUAGUCCC
This 319-nucleotide long non-coding RNA is filed under the name Gossypium raimondii (Peruvian cotton). RNAcentral describes it as "long non-coding RNA (GRAI_LNC002867)". Lineage: Eukaryota; Viridiplantae; Streptophyta; Magnoliopsida; Malvales; Malvaceae. The record is from RNAcentral.